This 331-nucleotide long non-coding RNA is filed under the name Salmo salar (Atlantic salmon). RNAcentral's name for it is "lncRNA (ENSSSAG00000111029.1, ENSSSAG00020069050.1, ENSSSAG00075014716.1)". Lineage: Eukaryota; Metazoa; Chordata; Actinopteri; Salmoniformes; Salmonidae. The record is from RNAcentral.
GUUUAUGUAAUGACUUGUGUUAGACUGCAUGGCACAGAACAUCGGGUUCGGAGUUGGACUUUGACCAUUGUGGAUGAGCUAACACCCACUGGGAGACCUCGUGCGAUCCAUCGGAAAGGACAUCCCCAGGUGGCCCCGUUCACCCUACUUUCAGAGAGGCUGCUAGGACGAUGGAAGAAUUCACAUGUAAAUAGGCCACUCGCUCGCUAAGACAGGAAAAAGAUGAAUCCUGAUAUGACAACCCUGCAUAAUGAGCAGCAGAGGAGUAUGCAUUAUUGCUACUUCCCUUGAGUACAGUGUACACAGCUUGAAAAUGUAUACAGUUAAGAGA